Molecule: long non-coding RNA, 913 nt
Organism: Orbicella faveolata
Lineage: Eukaryota; Metazoa; Cnidaria; Anthozoa; Scleractinia; Merulinidae
Source: RefSeq, a predicted model, not a curated record
CGUCGUUGGAGUAAAAACCGGUAACACUGUUUUUCAUUUUAUUUUUACGAAGUAAUAAUGGCGUUUGUUGUGGAAAUUGGCUGUCUUCUAUCCAACCAUUCCCUUUUACUUAAACGUGUUCACCCUUAAGUUAGUUACGAAAAGUUCCUUCAAAGAAUUUCUCCGUCUUGAUAGGUUCACUGAAGCAGAAAAAUCAAAGCGUCAUCCUUAUACAUUUUUGCCAUUUGGAUAUGGUCCUCACAACUGUGUCGGCAUGAGAUUUGCUUUGCUGGAAAUUAAACUGACCCUGGUGAGGUUACUGAAGAAAUACAAGCUAGAGCGCACUGAGAAAACAGCGGUUCCAGCGGAUUUUGUUGCUACUUUUGUUCUCACCUGUUCUCCUGGACAAGUCAUGUUAAAGGUUUCACCAAGAGAGUAAAGAAAGAUUAAUCGUGCACCGUUUUCCACAAGAAGCGAGAAAUAUUAAUCGUCUAGUAAACCACCCUUCUGAUCCAAGUAAAAAUGGCUUUUAGAUGACAAUGAUACGAGAUUUUUUUUCACUUUUCCACUUUUAUUUUAACCUUGUGAGGUUCAAAAACGAAAACAAUACAUAUUCUUAAUAACACUUAACAUUACUAACAUCAAUAAUUUACGUGUGCUGUUAUUAUAAUUUAUUAAAAUAAAAAUAAGACUUCAUACAAUCAAUUAAGUUUCUAAUAUGCAUUUUAUAUACGACUGUCAUCUAGUCUGAAAGUUAAGUUCUGUGUUGUUUUUCAUAACUAUAUAUUUCUCAGCUCUAAAUUUCACUGUGACGAUUUCCUUAAAAGCACUUAGAUUAGGAGUUACACCACGUUUCCUACUUAUCCAAAUAUGUAUUUUGACAAGUGUAAUAAAGUAAUUCACGCAAUUACGUGAAUGGUACUGAUAAACAUGA